Molecule: RNA transcript, 5414 nt
Organism: Nerophis ophidion (straightnose pipefish)
Lineage: Eukaryota; Metazoa; Chordata; Actinopteri; Syngnathiformes; Syngnathidae
Exons: 4
Source: RefSeq, a predicted model, not a curated record
AGUGAUUUGUAUUCUAUUUUAAUUUCAGCACAUGAAAAUAUUUCUACUUCUGACCAUCGAAGAGAAUGGAAAACCAUUUUCCAGAUCAGCCCUCAUACAUCCUCCUGAUGGCCUAACAACUGAAUGACAUGUCGAUGCUGAGUAUGAUCCAUUUCAAUCAUUUGAGGAAGCUCUCCCUGAUAUAGGGGAUUGGAUGUACAAUGACGGACAUACGUUUAAUGAAGGAUUUGAAGAUGGUUUGAGUGAGGAGUGUGCAGAAGAGUCCAAUUUCAAGGACACAACAGACAAACCAAUACAUGACAAUGCAUCAGAAACCAUGGCAGAGUGCCUUCUGAUCAGCAUGGGUUAUGUAAACUGUCCUAAAGUCACAGGUAAGGCCCUAAGCCAUAUGCUCAAAAUGUUCAAGUUGCUUUAUCCCGAUAGUCUGAACACAGACUGCUUAAACAGUGUGCAGAAGUUCCAAAACUUUUUUUUAUCCCACUCUGCAUCAUCGCCUACUAUAUUACAUAAAUCCUCCAAGAAUUGUUUUGGGCCAAUAGAAAGUAAACAAAUAAAAUGCCUGCUUUGUGGGACCAGUGUGUCAGAAGAAAGGUUCUAAUCCUUUUUUUAAAGUAUGUACAGAUUGAUUUCUUGUUUACCACAGCACAUUCAUGUGCCAAAUGGGCCCUCGUUGGUGAAUAUAAACAUGCAGGUUUUUCUUUGCUGCAAGAUAGUGUAACAUAUGAGACAUGCAGUCAUGUUAUUCCCCUAUUGGAAACCUCUGCAGUACAGUAGUAUUCUUGGAUGACAUAUUGGGUAAAGUUGUUUUCCUUGACUUCACAUCUAUGCCUGGCAUAGUGAUUGCAGUUCAUUUCCCCAACACACUUGAAAAGUUUGAAAUAAUGAAGAACUGAACUGGCCUAAGAAGCCACAAAUCAAAUCUUUAAUCAUUGUUAUAAAUGCUCUGAAAAUACACACUGAUGUGAUGUUGCCGUGGAUUCUGUAAAUAUGUACUGUAUAUGGAGUAUCAUUGUUGAUGAUGUUUUUGCAUUGUGUGUAAUAUUUCAGUGGCAAAUAUAUUACAUUUACUUGUUUAAUAAAGCCACUGUCUUUUUUAAUGAAUACAUAGGCCUACUAUGCUACUGCAUUUUAAUAUUAGUCCUUAUGAUGGUGGUUGGAGAGCCAAAUAUCUUCUGAAGUGGUACUUUGUUAAAAGAGUUUGAGAACCACUGCUCUAGAAAGUUCACAAAUGUUAAAAGCUCUUACAAAGUGUCUUGUGAUCAUAUCAGUAUUGUUUGGGUUCAGUUUUAAAUCUCACAAUUGUAGUCACCGAGUUACUGUACAUGACGUGUGGAUAAGAAAUCAACAAAUUAAGUCCAACUUUAUUUAAAUAAACCAUUUAGAUUACAGACCAUAUAUCCAUAUUGUCUGAAUUCAUUAUUUUCUCCCAAUGUUGGCAUGAGAUCAACUGGAAUAUGAUUGAGGUAUAACUAAAUUGAGCCCAUUAAAAUGCAUUUUUUUUAGAAAACGGGUAUAUCUAACAACUCAAAUAGUGAGCAGUGAGAGACAAAACCAAGUAUAUCUCUCACUGAGACAUCAUUGAGACAUAUUGAAACGUAUACUCAUCAAUUGUCUUUUUGCCGAAAUAGAAAAGAGACAUCUGAGAACUCAAACAGUGAGUAGUGAGAAACAAAACCAGGUGUUUCUCUCACUGAGUCAUAAUUGAGACAUAUUGGAGACCAGCUCAUUCAUCUCUCAUUUUGGUCUUAGUUGAAAUGGGGAAAAGAGAUAACUAUUAGACAACUAUGAGAUCUCUCAUAGUGCUCACUGUGAGCCUUAUUUCUCAGGCGAUACAUUUGAGAAGAAGGAGAAAACUACUUUGGUCUCCAUUAGUGCUCUUUUAUGUCUAGGAGAUAUAUAUAAGACAUACAUGAGAUCUCAUCUUCAAUUUUGCUUUGCUAUGGGAAACAAGUGUUUGAUGAGCAUUCCUCAACUUUUUCGGUCUUUUUUGACACUCGUGCCAGCUUUUUUUAAGCAUGUUGCAGGCAUCAAAUUCCAAAAUGAGCUAAUAUUUGCAAAAAAAAAAGUUUCUCAGAUCCAACAUCAAAUAUCUUGUCUUUGCAGUCCAUUCAAUUGAAUAUAAGUUAAAAAGGAUUUACAAAUCAUUGUAUUCUGUUUUUAUUUACCAUUUACACAACGUGCUACUUCACUGGUUUGGGGUUUUGUACAUGUUGACAGUACAUUGCAGUGUUAUUUUGUUACAGCCGUGCCCACUGUGUGAAGUACUUUUGCAAGACUCCUAGCAAUAAUAUUACACUUCACCAAAGAGCCUGCUGUAAAAGAAAUGACCAUUGAAUGAAGAUACAUACUCAGGUCACCGUGAUCUGAAAAGGAGAGUGAAGAAUGUUUUUGUAUUCCCCAGAUUCUAAUCAUCUUGGAUGAAUAAACAAGCAAUUCCUAAUUUCACUUGGAAAUGUGUUUACUAUAAAAGUGUAGCACUGUUUCCACACAAAAUACCUUCUGUUUUUGAAAAGAUGCCCAUGUGUGUCUUCCAGGUUGAACAUUCCACCCUUUGUGCCUGCCCGGACUGUGCUGGAAGGCCUCGAGUCAGAGGAUGCGUGUGAAGACAAGAAAGCUGUAAAAAAGGAGAUCCAUAGCAAAAAGGUCAAAUAAGUACAAACAAGUAUUUUACCUCGAUUAUUAACAGUUUAUUUUGCCCAAAAAUGUUAAGGGAGCCAAAAAGGACAAAAUGGAAGAGGAGAAUACAGACCUGCUCAGACUUUGCCACACAGUACCGCUGGAGGUGGUGAACUUAGGUAAGAAUCCAUGUUUCAAGGUUGAUCGGGGUGGGGGGAAGACAACGACACAAAGGUGCUCCUCUUAUUUAGACUUUUUGUUUAUGGAGGUGGGAAAGGUUACGAUCCAGAGAAGAAAGACUACUCAGGUUUUGAGGCCUGGUUGCAGUGUUACUAUGUGGAUGGAAUGAAGUCUGUACGCGACCACAAUGGCAGGACUAUGUAGUUCAAAGGCGAUCCAGGUCCUAUGGCUCCUAAAGAAUCAAAGUCUCCAAAGGCCAAAAAGAGAAAAGAUACAGAUGCAGACCAUGAUUACCCCCGCAAGAAAAAGGUGUCCAGGAAACACAACUCUGACAGCACAGUGAAGAAAAAAGCAGCCAAAAAGCCCACAAAAGCAGCAAAGGAAGAAGAAAAUGGACCUCAAGAAGAAGCCACACCCAGAAGAAGAUCAGCAAACACACCUCAGCAAGAACCGAAAUCCACGUCAGGCAGGAGGAAAAAGAACAAUACAGAGCCAGCUGCAGGUCUGAUUCUAAUAAUACUCCCAUUUUCUGAAAAUAUUAAGAGCCUGAUCUUUGAGGAUCCAAUUCCCACACACUUAUCUGUGUGCGCAAACUAUAAAAUUGCAUGUACUGUUGGUGGACGUGUUGUAUGUGAUCUACUUUGUGCAAUUGAUAGCAGCAAAAGUGGCACAGAUCACCCUAUUUUUGUGUACUAGAAGCAUUAUGUGCCCUUGGAAACACUUCUUUCCCUCUACAUUCAUGUUAUUAUGCUCUCCACACUGGAGGGGGGCUUAUAUUAGAUUAUAGCACAUAUCGAUCAUCUAACACCUUUUCUGCAAUAUAGAAUCACAGUAUGUAUACUAUUUGCAGCAGGAAUGAUCAAACUGCAUAUUGCAAGACAUUUUUUUUAGGAGUUAUACUAAAUACAAAAAAAAAAAACGCAACGCUUUUGUUCUUGUUCCCAAUUUAAAUGAACUCAAAGAUCGAAAACUUUGACUAUAAACACAAAAUACCUGUUCCUCUCAAAUAUUGUUCACAAAUCUGUAUACAUUUGUUAGUGAGCAUUUUUUCUUUGCCAAGAUAAUCCAUCCCACCUGACAGGUGUGCCUUGAGCUGUCCAAAAUAAAAGGCCACUGUGAAAUGUGCAGUUUUAUCACACAACACAAUGCUUCAGAUGUCGCACGUUUUGAGGGAGCGUGCAGUAGGCAUGCUGACUGCAGCAAUGUCCACCAGAGCUGUUGCCCGUCAAUUAAAUGUUUAUUUCUCCGCCAUAAGAAUAGAAUAGAAUAGAAAGUACUUUAUUGAUCCCUGGGGGAAAUUCAGCACCACAGUUCGCUCACAAUAAACAAUGAUAAUAAUAAAUAAUAUAAUAUAUAUGAAUAAUAUAAAUAUAUUCUACAUUUAAGUGCAGUCAAGGAACAUAUGCAUUAUACAGUCUGAUGGCUGUCGGUGUGAAGGACCUCCUGUGUCGUUCCGUGUUGCAUUUUGGGAGUCUGAGCCUUCCACUGAAUGUGCUCAUUCUCUCUGCAAGGUCCGAGUGUAGUGGGUGGGAGGUGUUGUCCAUAAUGGCUAGGAGUUUUGCUAGACUUCUCUCUGACACCACCGCCAGAGAGUCCAGCUCCACUCCCAUCUUGUUACUGGCCUUCUCUACCAACUUGUCCAGUCUGUAUGUGUCCCUCACUCUCAGCCCACUGCCCCAGCAGGCCACGGCGUACAAGAGGGCGCCUGCCACCAGCGACUCGUAGAACAUCUUCAACAUCUUUGUACAGACGUUGAAGGAUCCUAGCCUCCAAAGGAAAUAUAGAUUCGGCUCUGUCCCUUCUUGUAGAGGGCCUCAGCGUGUUUUGACCCAUUCAGCUUGUUGUCCAUGUGUACUCCGAGGUAUUUAUAAUCCUCUACCAUGUCCACAUCCACCCCCUUGAUGGAAAGAGGGGUCGCCAGAGUACUCCUCCUCCUUCCCAGGUCCACAACCAGCUCCUUGGUCUCCGUAACAUUGAGCUGGAGGUGGUUCUUUCCACACCAUGUGACAAAGUCCUCCACCAGUGUCCUGUAUUCCUCGUCAUCACCUUCCUCAAUACACCCCACUAUCGCAGAGUCAUCAGAAAACUUCUGAAGGUGGCAGGACUCUGACUGAUAGUGGAAAUGGGUGGUGUAAAUGGUGUAGAGGAAGGGGGAAGAGUACUGUAGCCUCCGGGGCCCCGGUGUUGCUGACCAGCCUGUCAGACACACAGUCCUGCAGUGGCAUAUACUGUGGUCUGUCAGUCAGGUAAUCUACAACCCAGGACACCAAGGGGGCCUCCACCUGCAUCUUCUCCAACUUCACACCCAGUAGCCCAGGCCGUUUAGUAUAAGCCGCCUCCAAAGGUGUUUCAGAGAAUUUGGCAAUACAUCCAACUGGCCUCACAGCCGCAGACCAUAUUGAUUGGCUGAGACCUGCCACCCGGACAGCUGCUACAACAAUUGGUUUGCUUAACCAUAGCAUUUCUGCACAAACUGUAAGAAACUACCAUGAAUUGAUUAACGUGGACCCCGACUUAAACAAGUUGAAAAACAUAUUGGGGUGUUACCAAUUAGUGGUCAAUUGUACGGAAUAUGUACUGAACUGUGCAAUCUACUAAUAAAAGUAUCAAUCAAUCAA